AGCGAACGCUGGCGGCAGGCUUAACACAUGCAAGUCGAGCGGGCCCUUCGGGGUCAGCGGCAGACGGGUGAGUAACGCGUGGGAACGUGCCCUUCGGUUCGGAAUAACCCUGGGAAACUAGGGCUAAUACCGGAUACGCCCUUAUGGGGAAAGGUUUACCGCCGAAGGAUGGGCCCGCGUCUGAUUAGCUUGUUGGUGAGGUAACGGCUCACCAAGGCGACGAUCAGUAGCUGGUCUGAGAGGAUGAUCAGCCACACUGGGACUGAGACACGGCCCAGACUCCUACGGGAGGCAGCAGUGGGGAAUAUUGGACAAUGGGGGCAACCCUGAUCCAGCCAUGCCGCGUGAGUGAUGACGGCCUUAGGGUUGUAAAGCUCUUUUACCCGGGACGAUAAUGACGGUACCGGGUGAAUAAGCCCCGGCUAACUUCGUGCCAGCCGCCGCCGUAA
This 449-nucleotide ribosomal RNA is filed under the name uncultured bacterium. Its description in RNAcentral is "partial 16S ribosomal RNA". It matches the Rfam family "Bacterial small subunit ribosomal RNA", at positions 29 to 523 of the family's 1533-position model. The record is from RNAcentral.